Molecule: ribosomal RNA, 535 nt
Filed under: uncultured Acidobacteriota bacterium
Lineage: Bacteria; Pseudomonadati; Acidobacteriota
Description: bacterial SSU rRNA
Rfam family: Bacterial small subunit ribosomal RNA
Source: RNAcentral
AGAGUUUGAUCAUGGCUCAGAAUCAACGCUGGCGGCGUGCCUAACACAUGCAAGUCGAACGCGAAAGUCCCGCAAGGGAUUAGUAGAGUGGCAAACGGGUGAGUAACACGUGGGUGACCUGCCUUCGAGUGGGGGAUAACGUCCCGAAAGGGACGCUAAUACCGCAUGAUAUGCCGCCCUUUAAGGGGUGGACAUCAAAGCUGGGGAUCGCAAGACCUAGCGCUGGAAGAGGGGCCCGCGUCCGAUUAGCUAGUUGGUGGGGUAAUGGCUCACCAAGGCAACGAUCGGUAGCCGGCCUGAGAGGGCGGACGGCCACACUGGGACUGAGACACGGCCCAGACUCCUACGGGAGGCAGCAGUGGGGAAUUGUUCGCAAUGGGCGCAAGCCUGACGACGCAACGCCGCGUGGAGGAUGAAGACCUUCGGGUCGUAAACUCCUUUCGAUCGAGACGAAUGGCCUCCGGGUGAACAAUCCGGAGGAAUGACGGUACCGAGAGAAGAAGCCCCGGCUAACUCCGUGCCAGCAGCCGCGGUA